RNAcentral lists this ribosomal RNA (486 nucleotides) under uncultured bacterium. Its description in RNAcentral is "partial 16S ribosomal RNA". It matches the Rfam family "Bacterial small subunit ribosomal RNA", at positions 30 to 507 of the family's 1533-position model. The record is from RNAcentral.
AUUGAACGCUGGCGGCAUGCCUUACACAUGCAAGUCGAACGGCAGCACGGGUGCUUGCACCUGGUGGCGAGUGGUGAACGGGUGAGUAAUACAUCGGAACAUGUCCUGUAGUGGGGGAUAGCCCGGCGAAAGCCGGAUUAAUACCGCAUACGAUCUACGGAUGAAAGCGGGGGACCUUCGGGCCUCGCGCUAUAGGGUUGGCCGAUGGCUGAUUAGCUAGUUGGUGGGGUAAAGGCCUACCAAGGCGACGAUCAGUAGCUGGUCUGAGAGGACGACCAGCCACACUGGGACUGAGACACGGCCCAGACUCCUACGGGAGGGAGCAGUGGGGAAUUUUGGACAAUGGGCGAAAGCCUGAUCCAGCAAUGCCGCGUGUGUGAAGAAGGCCUUCGGGUUGUAAAGCACUUUUGUCCGGAAAGAAAUCCUUGGCUCUAAUACAGUCGGGGGAUGACGGUACCGGAAGAAUAAGCACCGGCUAACUACGUG